CGGCAUUCAGCUGUUUUUUUUUUAAAAAGGAAUUUUAUUCAUUAACAACAUAUUACAUGUCGAAGCAUGUAUAACACAGAGCUUUGGGAGUUACAAAGGUGCCUAAAAGGACAGCCCAUAGUCCCGUGAAGAUCAUUAGUACAAGAGAUGAUAGGACUGUUGUUAUCUUUUUUUUAACAUCCUUAGCUAAUUGAUGAGCUAAAGUAUUGUUGUCUCUCGGAGUGAAAAUCAUCCUGG
This 237-nucleotide long non-coding RNA is filed under the name Brachypodium distachyon (stiff brome). RNAcentral's name for it is "long non-coding RNA (BDIS_LNC003253)". The record is from RNAcentral. Lineage: Eukaryota; Viridiplantae; Streptophyta; Magnoliopsida; Poales; Poaceae.